Pelobates cultripes (western spadefoot toad) is the source of this 225-nucleotide non-coding RNA. The record is from the annotation of a GenBank genome assembly. Lineage: Eukaryota; Metazoa; Chordata; Amphibia; Anura; Pelobatidae.
UGGACCAAUGGGAACUCUUCUGAACCUAUUUAAGGCUUGUUCCAGCCCUUACUUAUUGCCCUAUCGUGGUGUCUGUCCUGAUACACAUUAGUGCCAAUAGUAAGUGUCUCUUGUUGUAUUCCUGUUAUUGACCUCGGCUCGUAUUUGACUCGUGAUUUUCUGGUAUCCUGUCCUGACUUUGUCUUGACUCUGUGUAUUUCUGUAUUCCUGACCUUGGCUUACCCU